This 468-nucleotide ribosomal RNA is filed under the name uncultured bacterium. RNAcentral describes it as "partial 16S ribosomal RNA". It matches the Rfam family "Bacterial small subunit ribosomal RNA", at positions 28 to 507 of the family's 1533-position model. The record is from RNAcentral.
GACGAACGCUGGCGGCGUGCUUAACACAUGCAAGUCGAACGGAAAGGCCCUGCUUUUGUGGGGUGCUCGAGUGGCGAACGGGUGAGUAACACGUGAGUAACCUGCCCUUGACUUUGGGAUAACUUCAGGAAACUGGGGCUAAUACCGGAUAGGAGCUCCUGCUGCAUGGUGGGGGUUGGAAAGUUUCGGCGGUUGGGGAUGGACUCGCGGCUUAUCAGCUUGUUGGUGGGGUAGUGGCUUACCAAGGCUUUGACGGGUAGCCGGCCUGAGAGGGUGACCGGCCUCAUUGGGACUUAGAUCCGGCCCAGACUCCUACGGGAGGCAGCAGUGGGGAAUAUUGCACAAUGGGCGGAAGCCUGAUGCAGCAACGCCGCGUGCGGGAUGACGGCCUUCGGGUUGUAAACCGCUUUCGCCUGUGACGAAGCGUGAGUGACGGUAAUGGGUAAAGAAGCACCGGCUAACUACGUG